RNAcentral lists this long non-coding RNA (276 nucleotides) under Gallus gallus (chicken). The record is from RNAcentral. Lineage: Eukaryota; Metazoa; Chordata; Aves; Galliformes; Phasianidae.
UGAUACUGACGGUAGGCUCUUGUAAGAAGGUGAAAUACUUUUCAGAUUCAUCCAACUCCUGGCUAUUUUGCUAAAAGCUUCAGAUCCUGGUGCUGUCAUUGCUUCAAAAUCAACAAGCUUUCCUUUAGGGAUUUUUCCUGAUACUUCCUUUCCACUUGCCAUUAGAGCUCCCAUGAUCACUGAAUAAGCUAUCACACUUGAUCCUCUUGAAAGUGGCAUUAAAUUAUAAAAGUAAUAAACUAAUGACAGGAUCAAGUUGCACACAGCAUCUGCUUC